UGGGGAAUAUUGCACAAUGGGCGCAAGCCUGAUGCAGCCAUGCCGCGUGUGUGAAGAAGGCCUUCGGGUUGUAAAGCACUUUCAGCGGGGAGGAAGGCGGUGAGGUUAAUAACCUCAUCGAUUGACGUUACCCGCAGAAGAAGCACCGGCUAACUCCGUGCCAGCAGCCGCGGUAAUACGGAGGGUGCAAGCGUUAAUCGGAAUUACUGGGCGUAAAGCGCACGCAGGCGGUCUGUCAAGUCGGAGGUGAAAUCCCCGGGCUCAACCUGGGAACUGCAUUUGAAACUGGGAGGCUGGAGUCUUUUAGAGGGGGGUAGAAUUCCAGGUGUAGCGGUGAAAUGCGUAGAGAUCUGGAGGAAUACCGGUGGCGAAGGCGGCCCCCUGGACAAAGACUGACGCUCAGGUGCGAAAGCGUGGGGAGCAAACAGG
RNAcentral lists this ribosomal RNA (429 nucleotides) under Chloroflexota bacterium. RNAcentral's name for it is "Chloroflexi bacterium partial 16S ribosomal RNA". It matches the Rfam family "Bacterial small subunit ribosomal RNA", at positions 355 to 776 of the family's 1533-position model. Lineage: Bacteria; Bacillati; Chloroflexota. The record is from RNAcentral.